This is a long non-coding RNA of Octopus sinensis (East Asian common octopus), 2095 nucleotides long. RefSeq lists it as uncharacterized. Lineage: Eukaryota; Metazoa; Mollusca; Cephalopoda; Octopoda; Octopodidae. The record is from RefSeq and is a predicted model, not a curated record. The transcript has 2 exons.
AAUCCAUGUUAAUAACUGCUACUGCUGCUUCAUGUACUUGCUUGAUAGGGCUGGAGUCAUCCCAGGUCAGUGAUCCCAGAGACGUCAUCAUGUGUAUGAUGUGGAUCUUUUCCCUACCAGUAUACGAAGUUUUAAAGUGUUUAGUUAACUAGAAAUUGUGUUGACAUGUGCCGUUCAAAAGGAAAAGAUCCACACAUUCUACCAGUAGACGAAGUUUAAAAGUUUUUAUUUACAAAGAAAUUAUUAAAAAAAUCUGCCGGUCAAAGCGAAAAGAUCCGCACUAUAUACUCUGACAAAACUAAUACUACCAAAUAGCCAGUCAUUAUUAAUAACAGUACCCACUGUUAGGCCACCACUAAAAUCGCCAUCUCUGCUAUAUCAACUCCAGUACCAGCCAACCAUCACCACCACCGCCGCCGCCGCCAUCACCACCACCACCAUCACUAUCAACAUUACUGCAAGUAUUAUCACAUUAAGAUUGUCAGCAGGAAACCCCACACCACCACCAUCACCACCGUUAGAAGUGCCGCUACCAUGGCCAUCACUACGCCAAUGCUAUUCCACCACCUCCACGCCUAACGUCUCUCUACUACAAACAUCAUCAGUUUCCAACCAUUGAAUAACUUACCGCAGAUUCCUUUACAAGCAACUAACAGUAAUAUUGGUUGAAGUGAAUGCUUUUCUCUCUUAUCAAGACUCACAUCUCAAAGUAACAAUUGAAUAACAUUCUGGGCAGGUGACAGAUACAGAAUUUCAUACCUGAUUAGCCCAUACAAUAUUCAAAUAUUGGAGCAGCCAACACUCAAUGAAACCCACAAUUUUUUUCUAUCUGAAUAUAAUAAUCCAGUGAUGGAGACAAGGAAUGACUACACUGAUAAAUUUAAUCAUUAACUAGAAAUACUCAGUAAAAUCCCACAAUUACUUCUAUGUAUACAACUAUUUUAUUUUAAAACAUAUAUUGUCUUACAAAAACAGAAGUUAAUUUAAUGAAUACAAUUAAUUUAAGGAAAACAGAGAAAGCAUGAAAUCUGGGAGAAAAUAUCUUCAGUUGACUGAACCAAGGAUAUCAGAAUAUCUCUCUUACUCUGAAGUGGUGUAAUAUCAUCCUUACCAGAGUAAUAUCGCCUUCAUCUUCAAAACUUAGAAAUACUAUAAUUUAAUAGAAGAAUUAUGUUGCAAUAGAUAUAUGAUUUCAAACAGAAUUCACUGAGAAUACACAACAACAACAGAAAAAGAUAAAAGCAGCAAUUAUAAUUAAUGACAUAAUUUUCCAUUGAUUUUUAAUUUCUUUUAUUUGCCACAAUUGCAAGAUGUUUAUAAAAUAGAAUGACACAUUUGUUUUGGCAUUUAAGACUUUUAUAACAAUAAAAAUCGUAAUAAUUUGGGAUAUUGUAUUUAUUUUCAAGCAUUCAUAAAGAUUCUAGCUUUCAUAUUUCCUCCUCUAUAGAAAAAUGCCACUCCUUCACCGGAUUCUUCGAGAUAACAUAGAAAUGGCUGUAUCUACAUUAUCAUCUCUAAAUCAAACUGUUCCUGUCGUUGGGAAUGUAAACAUACCAAUCAUACGGAAUCUCAACAACUCAUCUACAGAUUCAGGAAUACUGAACACCUCUGUGGACAAUUCCCUUACUUCAGGCCAGAUUAAAAUGAGUGAGUUACUAAUCAUCAAAGUAGUAGUACUCGUUGGUGUGGUUAGUAUCUUGCUAUUAUCAUCUUGCCGUUUUGUCUUUAAAAUGUUUUCUCGUUACAUAACGGACAGUAAAGAUGACAGGGAUCUUUCUUUUGGAUAAAUACUUUGCUCAGCAUCCCAUCACCAUAGCCAUUCCCAAUAUCACUGUAAUACCCUUCUUCAAUUUGACUGAACUUUUCAAUAAAUUCUCCAGAAGAAAAAAAGAAAUAACUGGUUGAAUAUUUUCACAGAAAACUGACUGAAAUAUAAAUAUCUUCCUUAUCCUUUCUAAUUGCUUAGUUCUCAAGAUUGUUUUCUGCUGCAGAAAUAGAGACUAAAUUUUAAAUUAAAAGAAAAGUUUAUGAAAUAUUCAUUAUUUUUUAAAGGAUUUUAUUCACAGUUUUGAAAUAAAUAAAGAAAAUGCUUGAG